Molecule: ribosomal RNA, 253 nt
Filed under: uncultured bacterium
Lineage: Bacteria
Description: partial 16S ribosomal RNA
Rfam family: Bacterial small subunit ribosomal RNA
Source: RNAcentral
UACGUAGGGUGCGAGCGUUAAUCGGAAUUACUGGGCGUAAAGGGCGCGUAGGCGGCCUUCUAAGUCAGACGUGAAAUCCCCCGGCUUAACCUGGGAACUGCGUCUGAUACUGGAAGGCUUGAGUGCGGGAGAGGGAUGUGGAAUUCCAGGUGUAGCGGUGAAAUUCGUAGAUAUUCGGAGGAACACCAGUGGCGAAGGCGGCUCACUGGUCCGGUACUGACGCUGAGGUGCGAAAGCGUGGGGAGCAAACAGG